This 2223-nucleotide long non-coding RNA is filed under the name Rattus norvegicus (Norway rat). RNAcentral's name for it is "long non-coding RNA NONRATT000043". Lineage: Eukaryota; Metazoa; Chordata; Mammalia; Rodentia; Muridae. The record is from RNAcentral.
CUGAGUCUCUAGGCCCACGUUCACACCUCCACAGUAACCUUACAAGCCCAGGCCAUUUCCUUACUCGGAGCUCAAAUACUAGAAAGUGAGAUUCUGGCCAUUGCUCCAUCCAGGAGACAUCCUGUGGCAUGCCCAUUCAACACGUGGCUUCAUCCAGUUCCGGCCCAGAGCUCUGGCCGAGGAGGUUUUCCUUGAAGAUUUACCGUGAUCGCAUAGAACUCGCUGAUUUUAAUUACUCGAGGGAAACCAUUUAUCAUCUGAUUUCUCCCCUUGUGUGUAGGAACAAAAAGCCUACGAAGGAACUCAGAGAGCUGUUGAAAUUCAAGGUCUGACACCUCAUUGCAGUUACUGCGUAGUGGCUGAAAUGUACCAGCCCAUGUUCGACAGAAGAAGCCCAAGAAGCAAGGAGAGAUGUGUGCAGAUUCCAUAAACUGGUCUGAAACCGGGAGCAUAUCCAAAAGAGGAUGGCUUGUGCCUUGAACGGCUCACUUCUGUUUGAUUUUCUUAGAGCAUUGUCUACCCACACCUUUCAAGGGUUUUUUUUAUUCAUUCUUUCUGUUUAUUUCAGUUAUAAAGUAAAUUCGAACAGAUUCAAAAAUAGAAUUUCAAGAGGAGAUAAAGAAUAAAGAGCUUGUGGUAACAGACAUCUUUAAUCCCAGCACUAAGAGGCAGAAUCAGGCAGAUUUCUGUCUUUAGGGCCAGCCUGGUCUACAUAGAGAGUUCCAGGCUAGCCAGGGUCACAGAGUGAGACCGUGCCUCAAUAAAGUAAGAUGUUAAGAUAAAAAUCUUCUAUAAAAUACAGAAGUUUAUCUGAAUAUAGCAACCCUAACAAUACUCUUUUUUUUCUGUUAAAAUCCCCAAAUAAGAACCAAAAAAUUACAGGCAUUUAAUAAAAUGUCGCAAUGAGUUUUAAAGCAUUAUAUACAGAAAAUCCUGAACCAAUGAUUUUUUAUACUCUAUCAAGCCUUUUGCUUUGCCAGGGAUAUACCAAUUUAAUACUUUGUGUGAACGAGUAUAUUUCUGUACAUUUCUAUUUUAGAUGAAUAUGUUUUUAUUUUUUUAUUUCUCAUGAGGUAUUUCUACUUAGUGAACUAACACUUUAAAAAUAAUCUCUCGUGGCUGUCUCUAAAUUAAUCUCCAGAAUAAGAUUUUCAAUAACAGCAUGUAAAUAGAAGGAAGUCUUCAUAAUACAAUUUCCCCUCACUUAACACCCAACCUUAGUAUGACUACCCUUUCUGGCUUUGCUUUUAAUAUUGCCUUAGAAGGUAACCUAUGCCGUAGAAGUGGAGUGUAUAUUUUUCAACAGCAAGGAUAGAAAGAAGAAACAGCUAAGCCACAGUGAUAACUCGGCAAAGUUAUCAUUCAGGCAAAGGGAUCUCUCUGUUCUGGGAACAACUGGAGACCAUAUAGGAAACUUGGCUUGAAGCCAAAGGCACACUGUGGGUGCUUAAGUUGUUUCUGGGAUUAUAAGGAAAACCACAACCCUGCGAACUACACUGCCUCUCCUAAGCAAAGAUUAGGUGGCCGAAGGCUCAGAAAGUGGCCAGCGUUGCUAAGUCUCUUGUUAGCUCUUGAACUUAGACUAGCUGCUCCUGAAAAGACAUGUGGGAGAGAACAUCUGUGGUCUUCAUGAAAGGUGCUCCAACGUAUUACUUCAGAAAGUACAGUCAAUGUGUCUGUCUGCUUACAUCUACCAUGAUAAAUGGUAGUAGACCAUUAAAAAAUGUGGGAGACGUGAAAACCAAGAGUGAGGGCAUCGUCCUGGCUGUUCUGUGUGUUCAAAAAACACUGGCUUUCACUCCUAUUUUUGAAUUAUUCAAUUUUUAUUUCUUUAGUGGCUUAAUACCUGCUUGGAGUUUCUUUGGGUUUUUUGUUUCUUUGAAUGUUUGUCUUCUAUUUUGUACGUUGGGAAGGGCGAGACUUGAGAAGGAUAACCUGUCUUUGGGAAUCAGGACCACGUGUGGUGGCAGCAUUCAUGUUGUAAGAUGCGGUAGUCUAAAGCCUCAUGAUACAAAAGGCAAUGAAUGUAUAUGGAUGUUGUCAGGUAACAGAGCUUUGCUUUGAUUCUGUUUCCUUGGGGUCUGCCUUCUUGCAUGAACACAGCCAUGCUCAGAUAAGUAUAAAACCCUCUGAAAACCAUUACCAUGUUCACAUUCUUGAUCAUGUUAACAACAUACUGUCUCUGUACUUCAAUAAAUCUUACUUUGUACUUUACACACUGAA